RNAcentral lists this ribosomal RNA (582 nucleotides) under uncultured bacterium. RNAcentral's name for it is "bacterial SSU rRNA". It matches the Rfam family "Bacterial small subunit ribosomal RNA", at positions 334 to 917 of the family's 1533-position model. The record is from RNAcentral.
UACUCCUACGGGAGGCAGCAGUGAGGAAUAUUGGUCAAUGGACGGAAGUCUGAACCAGCCAAGUAGCGUGCAGGAUGACGGCCCUAUGGGUUGUAAACUGCUUUUGUAUGGGGAUAAAGUUAGGGACGUGUCCCUAUUUGCAGGUACCAUACGAAUAAGGACCGGCUAAUUCCGUGCCAGCAGCCGCGGUAAUACGGAAGGUCCAGGCGUUAUCCGGAUUUAUUGGGUUUAAAGGGAGCGUAGGCUGGAGAUUAAGUGUGUUGUGAAAUGUAGACGCUCAACGUCUGAAUUGCAGCGCAUACUGGUUUCCUUGAGUACGCACAACGUUGGCGGAAUUCGUCGUGUAGCGGUGAAAUGCUUAGAUAUGACGAAGAACUCCGAUUGCGAAGGCAGCUGACGGGAGCGCAACUGACGCUUAAGCUCGAAGGUGCGGGUAUCAAACAGGAUUAGAUACCCUGGUAGUCCGCACAGUAAACGAUGGAUGCCCGCUGUUGGUACCUGGUAUCAGCGGCUAAGCGAAAGCAUUAAGCAUCCCACCUGGGGAGUACGCCGGCAACGGUGAAACUCAAAUGAAUUGACGGA